This is a long non-coding RNA of Vombatus ursinus (common wombat), 566 nucleotides long. RefSeq lists it as uncharacterized. The transcript has 2 exons. NCBI's taxonomy places the organism in Eukaryota, Metazoa, Chordata, Mammalia, Diprotodontia, Vombatidae. The record is from RefSeq and is a predicted model, not a curated record.
GAUGAUGAUGAUGGUGAUGAUGCUGCUGCUGCUGCUGCCGACGCUGCUGCUGCUCCGUGGCAGGAGGAGCCAUUGACAUCGCCGUAGACACCACACGCUCAAAAUGAAGAGGUGGCGCGGGAGCGGACCUUUGGGCAACUGGAGUUGGAUGUCGGUUCGGAGAGCGAUCUGUAGGGUGCGCAAGAGCCUGCGUGCCCUUUAGCAAGCAAACAGAGAACUGGGCAGCCUCUUCAAUGGGAGGAGGGUGGUGGUCACUUUCCAAUCAUCGCCUUGCAUUCCCCCCCCCCAAAAAAAGAACUCACAUCAAUCGAUAAAUGACUGCCUAGGUAAGAAAUGCUGAGUGACGUACUAGGAGAGACAGUCUAUGGAUGUGUACAAACCUACCCAAAGGAAGAAGAGUAGGUAAAAUGUGGAGACGAUGUGCCUUGAUCUUUGCAAGUAUUUAUGUUUAAGUAGCUUUAGGCCCCCAUUCCCCUCACAAUGUUUCUUGAGAAAAAUAUAUUUGUAUUCUCUACUUGAACUUACUUACUGAAAUAGGAAAUAUAUUUUUCCUUUCUCCUCCCUCA